RNAcentral lists this ribosomal RNA (460 nucleotides) under uncultured bacterium. RNAcentral's name for it is "partial 16S ribosomal RNA". It matches the Rfam family "Bacterial small subunit ribosomal RNA", at positions 338 to 795 of the family's 1533-position model. The record is from RNAcentral.
CCUACGGGUGGCUGCAGUGGGGAAUAUUGGUCAAUGGGCGCUAGCCUGAACCAGCCACGUAGCGUGAAGGAUGAAUGCCCUAUGGGUUGUAAACUUCUUUUAUAUGGGAAUAAAGUGCAGUAUGUAUACUGCUUUGCAUGUACAUUAUGAAUAAGGAUCGGCUAACUCCGUGCCAGCAGCAGCGGUAAUACGGAGGGUCCGGGCGUUAUCCGGAUUUAUUGGGUUUAAAGGGAGCGUAGGCGGGUUGUUAAGUCAGUUGUGAAAGUUUGCGGCUCAACCGUAGAAUUGCAGUUGAUACUGGCUUCCGUGAGUACAGUAGAGGUAGGCGGAAUUCGUGGUGUAGCGGUGAAAUGCGUAGAUAUCACGAAGAACUCCGAUUGCGAAGGCAGCCUGCUGGACUGUAACUGACGCUGAUGCUCGAAAGUGUGGGUAGCAAACAGGAUUAGAUACCCCAGUAGUC